RNAcentral lists this ribosomal RNA (484 nucleotides) under uncultured bacterium. Its description in RNAcentral is "partial 16S ribosomal RNA". It matches the Rfam family "Bacterial small subunit ribosomal RNA", at positions 30 to 507 of the family's 1533-position model. The record is from RNAcentral.
AUUGAACGCUGGCGGCAUGCCCUACACAUGCAAGUCGAACGGCAGCGCGGGAGCAAUCCUGGCGGCGAGUGGCGAACGGGUGAGUAAUACAUCGGAACGUGCCCAAUCGUGGGGGAUAACGCAGCGAAAGCUGUGCUAAUACCGCAUACGAUCUACGGAUGAAAGCAGGGGAUCGCAAGACCUUGCGCGAAUGGAGCGGCCGAUGGCAGAUUAGGUAGUUGGUGAGGUAAAGGCUCACCAAGCCUUCGAUCUGUAGCUGGUCUGAGAGGACGACCAGCCACACUGGGACUGAGACACGGCCCAGACUCCUACGGGAGGCAGCAGUGGGGAAUUUUGGACAAUGGGCGAAAGCCUGAUCCAGCCAUGCCGCGUGCAGGAUGAAGGCCUUCGGGUUGUAAACUGCUUUUGUACGGAACGAAACGGUCUUUUCUAAUAAAGAAGGCUAAUGACGGUACCGUAAGAAUAAGCACCGGCUAACUACGUG